This 272-nucleotide ribosomal RNA is filed under the name Escherichia coli. RNAcentral describes it as "partial 16S ribosomal RNA". It matches the Rfam family "Bacterial small subunit ribosomal RNA", at positions 1 to 269 of the family's 1533-position model. The record is from RNAcentral. Lineage: Bacteria; Pseudomonadati; Pseudomonadota; Gammaproteobacteria; Enterobacterales; Enterobacteriaceae.
AAAUUGAAGAGUUUGAUCAUGGCUCAGAUUGAACGCUGGCGGCAGGUCUAACACAUGCAAGUCGAACGGUAACAGGAAACAGCUUGCUGUUUCGCUGACGAGUGGCGGACGGGUGAGUAAUGUCUGGGAAACUGCCUGAUGGAGGGGGAUAACUACUGGAAACGGUAGCUAAUACCGCAUAACGUCGCAAGACCAAAGAGGGGGACCCUCGGGCCUCUUGCCAUCGGAUGUGCCCAGAUGGGAUUAGCUUGUUGGUGGGGUAACGGCUCACC